This 260-nucleotide ribosomal RNA is filed under the name uncultured bacterium. RNAcentral describes it as "partial 16S ribosomal RNA". It matches the Rfam family "Bacterial small subunit ribosomal RNA", at positions 94 to 354 of the family's 1533-position model. The record is from RNAcentral.
AGUGGCGGACGGGUGAGUAACGCGUGGGUAACCUGCCCCAUACCGGGGGAUAACAUUCAGAAAUGAGUGCUAAUACCGCAUAAGACCACAGUGCCGCAUGGCACAGGGGUCAAAACUCCGGUGGUAUGGGAUGGACCCGCGUCUGAUUAGGUAGUUGGCGGGGUAACGGCCCACCAAGCCGACGAUCAGUAGCCGACCUGAGAGGGUGACCGGCCACACUGGGACUGAGACACGGCCCAGACUCCUACGGAAGGCAGCAG